CGCAUCUGUGCAUGCAGCAUAUCAAUAAGCGGAGGAAAAGAAACUAACAAGGAUUCCCCUAGUAACGGCGAGUGAAGCGGGAAGAGCUCAAAUUUGAAAUCUUAAAGGGUUUCCCUUUACGAAUUGUAGUUUAAAGAAGUGUUUUCUGUUGAGGUUUUGGUAAAAGUUCUUUGGAAUAGGACAUCAUAGAGGGUGAGAAUCCCGUAUUUGACCUUUACUUUCAACUUUGUGAUACACUUUCAAAGAGUCGGAUUGUUUGGGAAUGCAGUCCAAAAUGGGUGGUAAAUUUCAUCUAAAGCUAAAUAUUGGCGAGAGACCGAUAGCGAACAAGUACCGUGAGGGAAAGAUGAAAAGAACUUUGAAAAGAGAGUUAAACAGUACGUGAAAUUGUCAAAAGGGAAGCGUUUGACACCAGUGUUGUUUUUCUGAAAAUCAAUUAAAGAACUGUUUAUGCUAAGCUGUUUAGACUUUAUCAGCUAAUCUGUUUAGUUUUGAGCUUUUCUUUAAUGCACUUAUCAGUUAACAAGUCAACAUCAAUUUCUUUUGCUGUAAAAAAGCUUGAGGAAGGUGGCUUGAGAUUCGUCUUAAGUGUUUAUAGCCUCUUGCCUAUGCAGUCGGAGAGAUUGAGGUCUGCAGCGUAGAUCCUUCGGGGCUAAAUGCAUUUGUGCUAAGUUAUAGCAUUUUAUAGACAACUUGUUGACUAUGAUUUGUCUUGUAGCUUACUCGCUUAUGUUAUUUUACCUACGCUUAGGAUGUUGAACGCGCACAGAGUCUC
RNAcentral lists this ribosomal RNA (775 nucleotides) under uncultured Neocallimastigales. Its description in RNAcentral is "partial large subunit ribosomal RNA". It matches the Rfam family "Eukaryotic large subunit ribosomal RNA", at positions 26 to 635 of the family's 3401-position model. The record is from RNAcentral. Lineage: Eukaryota; Fungi; Neocallimastigomycota; Neocallimastigomycetes; Neocallimastigales.